CCCUUAGAUGUUCUGGGCCGCACGCGCGCUACACUGAUGCAUUCAACGAGCCUAGCCUUGACCGAGAGGUCCGGGUAAUCUUUGAAACUGCAUCGUGAUGGGGCUAGAUUAUUGCAAUUAUUAAUCUUCAACGAGGAGUGCCUAGUAAGCGUGAUUCAUCAAAUCGCGUUGAUUACGUCCCUGCCCUUUGUACACACCGCCCGUCGCUCCUACCGAUUGAGUGUGUUGGUGAGGAGUUUGGAUUGGCCUCGGAAGGUGGUUCGCCACCGUCCGUAGCUGAGAAGUUCUCCAAACCGCCCCACUUAGAGGAAGGAGAAGUCGUAACA
This 326-nucleotide ribosomal RNA is filed under the name uncultured eukaryote. RNAcentral's name for it is "partial 18S ribosomal RNA". It matches the Rfam family "Eukaryotic small subunit ribosomal RNA", at positions 1470 to 1796 of the family's 1831-position model. The record is from RNAcentral.